This 27-nucleotide non-coding RNA is filed under the name Mus musculus (house mouse). Lineage: Eukaryota; Metazoa; Chordata; Mammalia; Rodentia; Muridae. The record is from RNAcentral.
UGAAUUCCUCUUGCCUAAAUUUAUUGG